UCAAAGUACCGCAAGAGUGUUUCGAGGGCAGCCGACUCACUCAGCUCGCGCAGUUUCUCCAGAGCGACUGCAGGAGUGCUGAUGAUGACACAGCUGUUUCAUGAUUGGCCAAAUUCACCACACGACAACAAUGAAAGUAUGCAAACACCACGUGAGCGUCACUAACGGGAGCAGAAAGCUGGCAGAUCAAAAGGGUGGACUUCAGGAGGCAGACACACUAUGUGCUGACCGACUGAAUCUCUUGUCACAGUGUGAACACUUGUAAGGUUUCUCUCCAGUGUGGAUCCUCUCAUGUGAUUUCAGAUGUGCUGACCGACUGAAUCUCUUGUCACAUUGUGAACACAUGU
Molecule: long non-coding RNA, 347 nt
Organism: Onychostoma macrolepis
Lineage: Eukaryota; Metazoa; Chordata; Actinopteri; Cypriniformes; Cyprinidae
Exons: 3
Source: RefSeq, a predicted model, not a curated record